RNAcentral lists this ribosomal RNA (493 nucleotides) under Escherichia coli. RNAcentral describes it as "partial 23S ribosomal RNA". It matches the Rfam family "Bacterial large subunit ribosomal RNA", at positions 1 to 524 of the family's 2925-position model. The record is from RNAcentral. Lineage: Bacteria; Pseudomonadati; Pseudomonadota; Gammaproteobacteria; Enterobacterales; Enterobacteriaceae.
GGGUUGUGAGGUUAAGCGACUAAGCGUACACGGUGGAUGCCCUGGCAGUCAGAGGCGAUGAAGGACGUGCUAAUCUGCGAUAAGCGUCGGUGAGGUGAUAUGAACCGUUAUAACCGGCGAUUUCCGAAUGGGGAAACCCAGUGUGAUUCGUCACACUAUCAUUAACUGAAUCCAUAGGUUAAUGAGGCGAACCGGGGGAACUGAAACAUCUAAGUACCCCGAGGAAAAGAAAUCAACCGAGAUUCCCCCAGUAGCGGCGAGCGAACGGGGAGGAGCCCAGAGCCUGAAUCAGUGUGUGUGUUAGUGGAAGCGUCUGGAAAGGCGCGCGAUACAGGGUGACAGCCCCGUACACAAAAAUGCACAUACUGUGAGCUCGAUGAGUAGGGCGGGACACGUGGUAUCCUGUCUGAAUAUGGGGGGACCAUCCUCCAAGGCUAAAUACUCCUGACUGACCGAUAGUGAACCAGUACCGUGAGGGAAAGGCGAAAAGAAC